UCUAAGGCCGUCUGGCGCUCAGGAUGGCACGGAGGGCCGGACCUCCUACCCCCCCCCCCCCCCGGCCGGGCCCCCGGACUCUGGCGGGCAGGGAGGCCCCGGAUCGCGCCCAGGCCCUGGCGGGAGCGCGGGCAGAUGGCAGAGGAGUGCCCCGGGGCACCGUGAGAUGCAAGUGCGAUAUCGGGGCCAAGGUCGUGGGGCGUUGGCGGUUUUCUCCGUCACUGCCGUCACUGCCGGCUCUGACAGAUUACCCGCUCCUUAAUGUCUGUAACAGAGGCGGCGAUAAUUGUCCCUACGCAAUUAUCCUAGGGGGAGGAGGCUUAGAUUGACCCCAGAUGUCUCCUUUGUUUAGUUUGCAAGUCUUGUUGAAGAGACAGAGGGAUGUUGGGAACAGAAGGACUCCAGGACAGUGGUUUCCAAAUCUGGUCCUCAGAACACCCAUGGACCAUGAUGAUGACAUCACCAGUUGGUGACAAAAAAGGAGAAAAACGCAAUUUCCAGAAUGAGCUCUUCCCGAAGCAAAAUUAUUCCAUUUAAAGGACCAUCUUUUAAAGGGAAAUCAAGUUCUUCCUCCUUUUUUGGUAUUAAAUUAUACUUUCUUUUAGGUCA
Herpailurus yagouaroundi (jaguarundi) is the source of this 609-nucleotide long non-coding RNA. RefSeq lists it as uncharacterized. Lineage: Eukaryota; Metazoa; Chordata; Mammalia; Carnivora; Felidae. The transcript has 2 exons. The record is from RefSeq and is a predicted model, not a curated record.